This 253-nucleotide ribosomal RNA is filed under the name uncultured bacterium. RNAcentral describes it as "partial 16S ribosomal RNA". It matches the Rfam family "Bacterial small subunit ribosomal RNA", at positions 524 to 776 of the family's 1533-position model. The record is from RNAcentral.
UACGUAGGGGGCAAGCGUUGUCCGGAUUUAUUGGGCGUAAAUCGCGUGUAGGCGGCCAGAUAGGUCUGCUGUGAAAACUCGAGGCUCAACCUCGAGCUGUCGGCGGAAACCAUCUGGCUAGAGUCCGGAAGAGGAGAGUGGAAUUCCUGGUGUAGCGGUGAAAUGCGCAGAUAUCAGGAGGAACACCGGUGGCGAAGGCGGCAUCCUGGACCGGUAUUGACACUGAGGAGCGAAAGCCAGGGGAGCAAACGGG